This is a non-coding RNA of Cicer arietinum (chickpea), 6382 nucleotides long. NCBI's taxonomy places the organism in Eukaryota, Viridiplantae, Streptophyta, Magnoliopsida, Fabales, Fabaceae. The record is from RefSeq and is a predicted model, not a curated record.
GGUUAGUAGUACAAGUCGUUGACAAUUUAAUAUUCGUUAAACCUUAGAUAUUUUCUUCUCUCUCUACCACGUUGCUGUUUCCAUAGUGUUCCAUGCCUUUUCCUUAACUCCAUAACCUGUUUGAAUUAGAAUGCUGAUUAUGAUUAUUCUUAUUCCCCUUCUAAUUAAGUUCUAAUCUAUGAAUCAUUCUUAAUUCUAACUUAAUAACCCUUUGGUUUCUUUUCCCCUUCACUUCUCCUCCUUAUUGUGUGGACAGGAUGUACUUAGUAAGAGAUCGAGGAAGCAAAUAACAUACACAGAUCUGGUCUUUUAUUUUCACUAUAGAAAAGAUGCAUGAUGAACUGGAGUAUUUUCUUCAGCUUGGCUAUGCAGUUGCAAUAAUAACACGAAUCUUACAUUCACAUGUCUUUCUUUUUAUCAUCUAUUAAAGGUAUGGGAUUUUCUAAAACUGUCUCGUAAAAGAGAAACGAAGACUGAUGACCCGUUUUCAAAUGCAUAAUCUCACUAAGUAGUUGGAGAAUUAAGUUAGCUGAAAGAACAACUAUGAAAGAUGUCAUUUGUUUAUAACACAAGUAUAAGGAAUCUUGUAUAGCUAGAACGAUGAUAGAUGCCUUUGAUCACCUGAUAAGCUUUGUGUCGACAUAACCAAGGUAGUCAAAGUCUCAAGUCAACUCAAUUCUACAAUUCUAUGAGAGAAAAAUGAGUUAACUCAAUUUCAAACAUGCUUCAUGGUAGAAUCAUCCUAAAAUGAGUUUUCUACCAUUAUUUUUUUAUAAAAUAUAAGUACUAAUUUUAUGAUGCGAACUCAAACUCUUACAAGUUUACUAGUUAACUCUAUGGAUGCUGUCCAAGUUUAUAUUGAUUAUCAAGUUUGAAACUUUGAUACACACCUAUACGGUUCUCUCUCAUAUAGUAUACUAUGUCUUUGAAAUUAAUGAGUUCAUUACUUGUAGGAUUAGUUUCUUGUCUUCAAAUAUCUCUUAAGAUUAGUUUUCCUAUUUAUGUUCUUUUUUCAUGAUUUGUUUCCCUAAGUGUCUAUUUGGGAGUUUAGAAGAAGAGGAGGGGAAGGGAGGACUUUGGAGAGUUUAUUUUUCUUAAUAAUACAAAAUCCCCCAGUUUGGGAAAACUCAAAAAAUGUGUUUAUAAUCUUAAGCAUUCUCUACAAAAUAACUCUAAAAAAGGUGGAAGAUUUCUCUCUAUUUUCUUCCCCUUCUGUCCCCUCCAAACUCCCAAACAAAGCCUAAGUAAUUAGGAUUUGGAGUCUUGUAUUAAUAUAAAUAAUAGUUAAUGUUUAGUCUUUUUGUAUCAAACCAUAAUCAUCAUUUUAAAAGUAGCAACCAUGUUAUUAUAAUACAAAGUCUUUAAUUUUUUUAAUUCUGAUCCUGUUCUUAUCUAAAAGUAAAACAAACCCUAUAAGUUCAACAUAGUAUCAAAGUAGCAACCAUCCUCUGUGACUUGCAACUUCGCUGUUAUGCUACCAAGUUCCCUAAUGCAUGGAACUCUAUUAUAAUAGUCGUACUCAGAAUCCUUUUUUGGCCUUAUCCUUCACUUUUCAUCAAAUUAAGUUUUUGGUGUUAGUCAGCAUGUAAAGUCCACGUGUCGCCUUCAUACUGCUUGUUAACCAUGCUGCUAGUCAAGUUUUGUUCUUCGUCGUUCUUUCCUUGUUUUAUCAAGGCCACUUUCAUCUCGUGCGUCUAAUUUGAAUAUGGUUUUGCCACUGUUGGUAACUGCAGCAGCAUCUCUACACCAUCUCCUUGAAUCUACCUUUGUUUCUCUGAGAUGACCUAUGGUAUGUUGUGUUUCUUUGAAAAUGUUGGUUUUGUCUCAGUAACUCAGUUGUGGUUUAGCACUGGUUUUUUCUCGGUUGAGGUUUGACAUUUGUUUCGUCCUGGUGGUUUUGUCUUAAUUGUACUUUGACACAUUUUUGUCUCAACUGUGGUUUAAUCCCAACUUCUAUCCCAAUUGCAAUUUGGGUUUGAUUCUUUUUCCGGAUGCAAUUAUAUCAUUUGUUUAUUUUUUUCUCUUUUGUAAAGUAUGUAACAAGCUUAGGAAACUUGAGUUGAAGUGUUAAAAGAUAGAAAUAUAUCUUGGAUUAUCUCGUAAGAUAAAGUUUCUUGCAUUAGAGGAGUAGGACCUUUGAAUAUCUCUUAAGAGUAGUUUCCUUAGUUCUUUUUUUGUCAUUGAUUUGUUCUUAUAAUAUGUAAAUGUUGGGCCUGUCUUGAGAUUUUUUUGUUGUCAACUGAAAAAUGAAAGUAUGAAACUAAAUAAAUCAAUGUGUAGACUAAUCCAAAACUAAGACGAGAAUAAUUGUUACGCCUGAUGUAUGACUUCUGGAGAGCUAAGGGGUCGUGUACUCAACUUCUGUCUCUAACAACUAAUAACUAAUAUUUGCCAUUUAAAGAAAUGGUUAUACCCAAGGUAUCUUCAUUAACUAAAGAAUAGCAGUUACAAAUGUAUAAAUGUAUAAUCAUCACCCAACUGGUUCUAAUGACCAAAAUAUUUAACAUGACACCCCCCUCAAAUUGAUGCUGGCUAGUCUACAAACAUCAAUAUGCCAAAUAGGAAAUUGUGGAUUUGAUGUACCAUGUAUUUGGUGAAGAUGUGCCAAGAAUGCAGAUUUGACUAUCAUGACUUUUGCUCCGGAUGCCAAGAGGACCACUUUCCGUAUCAUAUUAAGUGCCAUUUAAUGUUAUGCACACUUCUUAAGGAAAGUAUUCCAUGUACUAAUUAAAAUGAGCUUUAUUGACUUAUAUGCUCUCAUUAGUAAAGUUAGUGGAGUAGUUAGGUAAGUUGAGAUACAACAACAAGAGUAUCUGUGGAGAAACAAAUAUUUCUAACACGAUGCUUAAUAUGAGACGGAUAGACUACUAUGCAAAUAAUUCAUGCCCUUGCUGCAUCCCUCUCUUGGUCAUUACAUCCAAUGGAUGUAAAAUUUGCAUUCCUCCAUGGUGACCUCAAGAGUAGCAAAAACACUGAUACCAGAAAACUUUGGCCAAAUACUUGUUCUCCAGCCAAAGAUUUCUCAUAUAAAUAGUGUUUAAUUACAAUCUGACAAACUGGUUUUGGCCCAAUAAAUUAGCUAAUUGCCAUAUAUACACAUUUAUCCUAAUUAAGAAGAAAUAACAAUUAAACCUACAACUGAGGUAUCCUAAUUAAGAAGAGAAUAUAAAUUACUACCUCUGUCUCUAAAUAUAUGUCCCCCCUUUGAAUGAUUUCUUUACUAACAUUUAAUUUACAUUAUUUUCUGCAACCAACAAUAAAUACUAUGGUGGGAACAAUAACUAAUUCUCUCUUAAAGGGUAAACUUGUAAAAAUAGUGUCAAUUGCUAACAAAUUUAAUACUAUUACGGUAUUACCAACUUUCUUAAUUCUGGUGAUUUAGUGAAUGAGGUCGUAUAUUUAGAGAUGGCAGUCAUACAAAGGUAUAUGAAUGUCGAUGCUUGAAGAUAUAGCUCAUAUAGAGAAUUGUCAAAUAGCUGAUUUGGGCUUGUGACAGCAAUUGGGUAUCAACUUGUUCAAACUAUUUUGAAAAUUAUUACUGAUUCUGUUGAGUUUCAAGAGGCUUGCUUGUCUUGUAUUCUUUCCUUUCUUGAUAAUAUAUUUGUUAUGAAAAAGAGAUUUGUAAAAUUUUAGGGCCUGAUUGAUUUGUGCAUUUUUUUUUUUGUGCUUUCAUUUCCUAUUUUCAGUUUUAUUUCCAAAACUAGCACCAUCACACAAUGUUUUAGCUUUGUUUCUUGUUUUCAAUAUUUUGUAAUAUAUAGUCAUUUUCUAUUCAUUGAUAAAAAAUUAUGAUAUGACAUCUCACCCCUUUAAAGGAAACAGUGAAAACAAUUUUCACUUAUAUUUACAAUUUUGUUUUCUUCAUUUCCUAUACAAAUAUUUGAAAGUUGGAAACAAAGUAUAAAUGGUGUCUGUAUCGCAAAUAAAAGCAAUAACAGAAAAUGAAAUAAUUUUUUUGAAACCAAAUAGACGCUGCAAUGUUUUAGAUUUACCCAAAUCUGCCUUUACUCCCCAAGUUCUGCUUUCUAUCAUUUCAUUUUCUUGCCACAUGGUUUUUAGCAAACAGAACAGUUGAGAUCGUAGGCAGGACAGGAGGGCCAGUGAACUGGUUUGGUAAAAAUCCGCGUCAAGAUGAAGCAGAAGGCUGAUGGGAGUUUUGUCAGGUACGGAAGCAAAACCCAUCUCUCACUAGUAUAAAAUUUAAUAUCAUACAUAAUCAAUGUAGAUGGCUGAGUUCAGUUUGACCCAUGGUCAGACUUUACUGCUUUUCCAUGCCCGCUUGUUGGUGGUUUGUUUUACUAAAUAUACUCUCAUUAGAUCCCUCCUGCCAAUUAAUCAUGCAAUCAGAAGUUUUUGCACGAUUAUAGCUGUUGCUCUUGAACGUUGAAGUAGUAUACUUUAAUACAAAAUUUAAAAUCAUUCUAUAAACAUCAAUGUCCUUUUCAUGCAUGUAAUGUUGAUAGCUUAGUGUAACUAGGAAUAACUUGUGUUUAAAGCACUUGCAACCCUAAAAUUACCAAGUUUUAAAAAUAGACAGUAAUGAUUUGAAUAUUCAUGUCACCUAUGAAAAUAUUUGACCUGAAAAAUCAAUAACCUAUUUCUGCUCUGUACAUGAGAUGUCUAGUACUUGUACAGGCAGAAAUUUUUGUACUUUAGGAUUUUGGUUUGACAAUUUAUUGGUAACACAGAUUGACUCAUAACAAUUUGGGUUUUACUCAUAUUAUAAGCUUCCUUUUGGAAGAUCUUUUAUUUUGCUUUCACCCGCAUGACCUUGCUUUUUCUGUUGAAUUUCAUAUGUAUAGUAAUCCAAGGUUGACCCAUGAGAGUAUAGGCCUAGAUUGCACACCUGAUGCAUCUACAAUAGCAACUUUAUCGUUAUUAUUGGCAAUUUCAUACUAAUUUUAUGUGUAAAUAUUGUGUAAAAAAAUAAGGGCUAUAACAGGUCUUACCACUAUCUCUUCAGUUGUAUUGUUUAUACUGUGAUUGUUUUAACCAUCUGAUGUGAUACUGCUGAUUGUAUCGCUUUUCAGAAGGUAAAUGUCUUCAUUUACUGGCCUAUACUGUUGCCCUUGUGGCACUUCUGCAGGGUUUUGGUGAGAUCAUGGGGCUUGUCCCACUUGAUAUAGGGUUUAGGGAAAAUAGGAAAAAUUAAACACGUAACCUUUGAUGUUAAAUGCUUGUAAAAUGUUGUAACUUUGCUUGGGCAUAAGUAAGUGCUAUCAGCCAUAGCCAUUUCCUCCGAAUUAUUUUAGUUUGUAUCUCAAUUUUUUGAAUACGGUUGCAAUUCAUUUAAUUCUUAUAGUCAUACUGUCAGUGAUGUCACCAAUCAGCUGAAUUCUCUGCCAAAUGGAAUGAGGAUUUCCUGGAAGACUCAGGAAUGAUUUUUCCUACACCACUAUUGGCUGUGUACGAAUCUGUAGGAACGGAAUAGCAGUUCCCUCAUUAUUGUUGGCAAUUCUUCUGUAUAGUUUAUUGUAAAGAAUCAUAAGACAUGCUUAUCACUUGAGAGAAAUAGAAUAAUUACUGUGACUGUAUGAGCGUCACAGUUUCCAUUCCGUCGCCAAUUACAUCUUACAGGCACAGGUAGUGGUGUUCCAAAUUCCAUCUAAUUGGUCAUAAGAGAUGCAGAAAUUAUAUAAAACAACACCAAUCACAAUUAUGGAUAUCUUUAUUGCAUAAAAUUUACAGCGGUAGUCAUUAUGUCUGAUCCUUAACAGCAAUUGUAAGCUUCUUGAUAGACAAUCUCACACCCUAUUAUGUUGAAUUGGAAAAUGUGGUUGUUGAACUACAUGGUCCCACAGAUAGCAGCAUGAUGAUAUGUUUGAACUGGUUCAUGACAGCUUGUCAGAAAUGAAAGCAUAGGGGAUUAUCAAACAGUUCUUGCUAAUGCAGCUGUAAUCUGGUACAGAAUUUAGGUGUUUAGUUUCUGAAUAAAUUAGAAAGAAAAGGUGUAAACUGGAGCUAUAUGCUGUACAUUAUCAGUUUGAGGGAAUACCCUAAUUUCACGGCUUUGGUUGCUGGUUCACUGUAUUGAGGCUGUGGCUGGCUUAGCUGGAGACUGAUAGGUGCAUGUAAAUCAUAUCCAUUUCUGAUUGUGCAUGAAAGAUUGGAUGCUACAUUUUCUUCAUUUGUAUUCCUUGCUUCAUAAACCUAAGAUCCAAAUCUUCUGUUUAGAUUAAGAACAAGUAAAUGGAAGCCUUUUAACUGCUAGAGAAAUAGUAGUAUUUGGCCUAAUGGAGAGUAAGUUCUACUUUAUAUGGUUGUGUCUGUGUGUGUUCAGUAUUGUUCAUUAUGCAUGCCUUACGUUGUUCAGGAUGUGCAUGUAUUUAUCAGAAAAUGAUUAACAUAUUCUUAAAUUAUUGUCUGUUUUUCUUUUUUAUCA